UGUCUCUCACCCAUGAGGCUGUUGGAUGCUUUUCUUCCACAGCCAGGGCAAGAGACCAAAAGCAUUCUGGAGGUCUGUCGUCGGGGCUGUCCUAAGCUAAGGCUGCCACGUUUUCCUGCCUCAGACACUU
Monodelphis domestica (gray short-tailed opossum) is the source of this 130-nucleotide non-coding RNA. The record is from Ensembl. Lineage: Eukaryota; Metazoa; Chordata; Mammalia; Didelphimorphia; Didelphidae.